Molecule: long non-coding RNA, 384 nt
Filed under: Anser cygnoides (Swan goose)
Lineage: Eukaryota; Metazoa; Chordata; Aves; Anseriformes; Anatidae
Description: lncRNA (ENSACDG00005004678.1)
Source: RNAcentral
AUGAUAGUCUUAGUAACAAAAUGUGGAAAGUUUAUGCUGCAUUUCAGGUUUCAAGGAGAAGGGCAUCUAACAGUUUUUCUCCAAGGCUUGCUCUUUUGUCUCAGUUGUUUUCCACUCUUCCAUCUCUGUUUCAGCCCUCAGCCUAAUCUCCUUUUCAGACAGUUUCCCUCUGAUUUUCCAUUCAAUUUUUUCCUCUUGCCACUUCAAAAUUCUCGCUGUGCAUUGUUUUUUUUUUUUCCCUUCAAAGGAUUCUUCACCAUAGAUGGACUUGUCAAAUUUGACCUGAAACAACUCCAGACUGUGACAAAUGUAAAGUGGAUUCCACUAGUUUCCCUCAGGUUGCUUCGGAACAUUAAUUCUGUAGCUAAAACAUGUGCUAGAUAA